CCUACGGGAGGCAGCAGUGAGGAAUAUUGGUCAAUGGGCGCGAGCCUGAACCAGCCAAGUCGCGUGAGGGAUGACUGCCCUACGGGUUGUAAACCUCUUUUAUAAAGGAAUAAAGUGAGGCACGUGUGCCUUUUUGUAUGUACUUUAUGCAUAAGGCUCGGCUAAAUCCGUGCCAGCAGCCGCGGUAAUACGGAGGAUCCGAGCGUUAUCCGGAUUUAUUGGGUUUAAAGGGAGCGGAGAUGGGUUGGUAAGUCAGUUGUGAAAGUUUGGGGCUCAACCGUAAAAUUGCAAUUGAUACUGGCAGUCUUGAGUACAGUAGAGGUAGGCGGAAUGCGUGGUGUAGCGGUGAAAUGCAUAGAUAUCACGAAGAACUCCGAUUGCGAAGGCAGCUUACUAGACUGCGACUGACACUGAUGCUCGAAAGUGUGGGUAUCGAACAGGAUUAGAUACCCCAGUAGUC
This 460-nucleotide ribosomal RNA is filed under the name uncultured bacterium. RNAcentral describes it as "partial 16S ribosomal RNA". It matches the Rfam family "Bacterial small subunit ribosomal RNA", at positions 338 to 795 of the family's 1533-position model. The record is from RNAcentral.